RNAcentral lists this ribosomal RNA (331 nucleotides) under uncultured eukaryote. Its description in RNAcentral is "partial 18S ribosomal RNA". It matches the Rfam family "Eukaryotic small subunit ribosomal RNA", at positions 592 to 976 of the family's 1831-position model. The record is from RNAcentral.
CAAUAGCGUAUAUUAAAGUUGUUGCAGUUAAAAAGCUCGUAGUUGAAUUUCGGGGCUCCGGCGCAACCACUUCAUUGUGGGUGCACGGCGUCCCUCCUCGCCUUUGGCGUCAUUUACUGUGAAAAAAUUAGAGUGUUCAAAGCAGGCAAACGCUUGAAUACAUUAGCAUGGAAUAAUAAGAUAGGAUUGCGUCUAUUUUGUUGGUUGCGGACGACAAUAAUGAUUAAUAGGGAUAGUUGGGGGUGUCCGUAUUGAGCUGUCAGAGGUGAAAUUCUUGGAUUUGCUCAAGACGAACUACUGCGAAAGCAUUCACCAAGGAUGUUUNCAUUAA